Molecule: ribosomal RNA, 289 nt
Filed under: uncultured bacterium
Lineage: Bacteria
Description: partial 16S ribosomal RNA
Rfam family: Bacterial small subunit ribosomal RNA
Source: RNAcentral
GUGGAUUAGAUACCCUGGUAGUCCACGCCCUAAACGAUGUCUACUAGUUGUCGGGUCUUAAUUGACUUGGUAACGCAGCUAACGCGUGAAGUAGACCGCCUGGGGAGUACGGUCGCAAGAUUAAAACUCAAAGGAAUUGACGGGGACCCGCACAAGCGGUGGAUGAUGUGGAUUAAUUCGAUGCAACGCGAAAAACCUUACCUACCCUUGACAUGUCAGGAAUCCUGAAGAGAUUUGGGAGUGCUCGAAAGAGAGCCUGAACACAGGUGCUGCAUGGUUGUCGACAACU